Molecule: ribosomal RNA, 443 nt
Filed under: uncultured bacterium
Lineage: Bacteria
Description: partial 16S ribosomal RNA
Rfam family: Bacterial small subunit ribosomal RNA
Source: RNAcentral
CCUACGGUGGGCAGCAGUGGGGGAUAUUGGACAAUGGGGGGAACCCUGAUCCAGCGACGCCGCGUGAGUGAAGAAGUAUUUCGGUAUGUAAAGCUCUGUCAGCAGGGAAGAAAGCAAUGACGGUACCUGACCAAGAAGCCCCGGCUAACUACGUGCCAGCAGCCGCGGUAAUACGUAGGGGGCAAGCGUUAUCCGGAAUUACUGGGGGUAAAGGGAGCGUAGACGGCUGUGCAAGUCUGGAGUGAAAGGCGGGGGCCUAACCCCCGGACUGCUCGGGAAACUGUAUGGCUGGAGUGCAGGAGGGGUAAGCGGAAUUCCUAGUGUAGCGGUGAAAUGCGUAGAUAUUAGGAGGAACACCAGUGGCGAAGGCGGCUUACUGGACUGUAACUGACGUUGAGGCUCGAAAGCGUGGGGAGCAAACAGGAUUAGAUACCCUUGUAGUC